RNAcentral lists this long non-coding RNA (1692 nucleotides) under Capsicum annuum. RNAcentral describes it as "long non-coding RNA (CANN_LNC002130)". Lineage: Eukaryota; Viridiplantae; Streptophyta; Magnoliopsida; Solanales; Solanaceae. The record is from RNAcentral.
CGGCCCUUAAUUGGCCCAUUAGUAAAGCUGCCCAAUUUUGGGCUUUGAAUUAUGGACUUUGGUCCAUUUUUCUGAAGUGUAUAUUAACUGUAUAUCUGAGUUAUUUCCCCUGUAUUUUUUGUAUAUACGUUGUAUAUCUGCGUAAAAAACCCUGUAUACUUGCUCCCAGCUUUACCAUACGCCAUCUCUUGACUUAAACCAACCACCUUUAACCAGUAAACCACAUAUAUCAGGUGUAUACUAGUGUUAUACCAGCCUCGUUCAUGAUAUGUUAAUCAAUUUGCGGAUUUGAAUGGGGCUCGACUCGAUAUUAGUCCUCCUUGGCCUGUUGGAGUAUGGAAGAGAAAAGUCCGUUUGGACUCCAAAUUAGGGAAAUCAUCCAAAGGAAGAAAAUAACAAUUAGCAGAUGCUCUUACAAACAAUUGUUUCUAAAGAAAAAUAUACUAAUCCCGAAAAAUAAAACACGAGCAAAGGUGAUCAAAUUUAAUUAUUUGUUUACAUGAGAAUGAUAAUCAUUCCUAAUCAUAUCAACAACAAUUAUGUUAUUCGUUCACAUAAGUUAAUCCAUAGAAUAUAACUAAAGAUUGUUCAAAAGGUGUUUAAAUUUUCUCAUGCUCUUUUUCACCAUCAGAUCCACCACAGAUACCAGUUUAACGAUUUUCGCAACCUGACUAAUGCUUAAACAGUCCAAAUUUGCAAUUUUCAACAAUCAGAUCCACCAAAACAGAAUUUUUUUUUUUUUGUUGAUGGUCUUUUUAAGACCAAUGCAAAUGGGUUUUCUUUCUCAACACCACCCAAACCCCCCAAAACUGAGUUAUAAAUUGAAACAUCUACAACUUUCUAUAUCAGAUUUUCUCCUACAUAAAUACACACAUCUCUAUGUGUGUGAAAAUUAUAUAAAAAUAUCUAUUUCAUAAUGAAUAAUGAAUAAAUCAAAGCAAAUAGGAAAUAUUUGAAUAAAAUUGGGAAUGGGGAUUUUAUUAUAAGCAAAAGAAUAAUGAAUCCCCCAUUCUCUCCAUUUCAUCUUCUUCUAAAACAACGAAUGAGAAAUUUCUUUAAGAACAUAUAUACACGUACGUUAAUCAGUUUUUAUUCCAAUUUGGCUGCAAUCAAAAGUCAAAACUAGGAGUCCAAAGAUACACAGACAUCGAGAAUAACAUUCUAUGUUAAUUUCCUCAUUUUACUGCAUUGGAUAGUUAACCAAUACACAACAAUAUCAAUAAUAAAAGGUGCAGCCGAAAAAAAUCACAUCAAAGAGAGAGUACAAAAGUAAUUCACCUUUUUGGGGGUAAGAACCGGAACAGAGAGCUUUUCGAUUGAACGGACUUCACCACUGUCAAAAUUCGAUUCCAAUUUAUCGAGAUUACCAUAAAAUUUCCAGAAUUUAAUCUUCCGUUGGAAUUUGGUUACGUGAGGUUAGAAGCAUAUGUCUCGAGAACCUCCAAUUUUUCCCAAAAAUUCCUCUCACUAUCUAUUUAUAGAGAAAAAUAGGGGCGGAGAGGGGGAGAAUCUAGAGUUUUGGAUUGAAAAUGGGAUUUUGAAUUGAUUUUCUUAGGAAAUUUGAUGUCCAUAGGUAGAGAAACGGGUAACCGUUGGCUUCUUACCAAAAAUGGGCGAGCAUGGUCUGAGAAGGGGAAAAGGCCAAUAAACUUUUUUCCCUUCUUGGCUGUUUGGAGGGGUAAAAGGUUCAAA